RNAcentral lists this long non-coding RNA (809 nucleotides) under Lonchura striata (white-rumped munia). RNAcentral describes it as "domestica (Bengalese finch) lncRNA (ENSLSDG00000000640.1)". The record is from RNAcentral. Lineage: Eukaryota; Metazoa; Chordata; Aves; Passeriformes; Estrildidae.
CUCGGGCGGCGCAUCCGCGGGCCCGGGCCAUGUGAGCGCCCGGGGCUCCGGGAAAGCCAUCUUGGGCGGCUGCGAGCGCCUCAUAGGCUCCCGGGCGGCCGCGAAGGGAUGAUGCUCGCUCGGCUCCCCGCCUGCCCGCCCGUCAGGCGCCCGUGAGCGCCGGCCCCGAGCGCCGCCGGAGCUGCGGCUGCUGCCGGCCCCGGAUCCCCGAGCUGCGGCUGCUGCCGGCCCCGGACCCCCGAGCUGCGGCUGCUGCCGACACCCGGAGCUCCGAUCCCCGGAGCUGCUGCCGGCCCCGCUCGGCUCCCGCAUGAGCCCGCUGGCCCCCGGCACCGCCUGAGCGCAGGCUGGAAAUGAUCCCUCGUGCCUGCAGCUUCACAGGAAAUACCUGAGCAGACCUGGUUUGUAGGAGAGACACAGGUUCCAAGUCCCAUGUAACCACCUUAGAUCAAAGCGUCGUCCCUGGCAGCUCUUGGAGGAGCAGCUGAAGGAUGCAGUGCAGGAGGAGAACUGCCUGAGCCUGCAGCAUGCCAGCGUGUGCCCCCGAGCAUUGCAGCGCGGCCAGGUAACGCACGGCAGCUGUGCCAGCUGUGCCAGCUGUGCCAGGUGUGCUUGGUGUCCCCAGGUGUGCCCAGGUAUGCCCUAAAAGGUCUCUGUGUGCUGCAGUGUGGAUUUCCCUGUCAGAUCUGCAUGGCAGAGUGCUGGGAGGAGAGGCUGGCGAGCCCCACCUCAGCACAUCUGCACCCCAGAUGUGCAGCAGGAGCCAGCCCUGGGCUCUGAUGGGCAUGGCGUGGCCACUGGGAGCUGGG